UAGGGAAUCUUCCGCAAUGGGCGAAAGCUUGACGGAGCAACGCCGCGUGAGUGAUGAAGGUCUUCGGAUCGUAAAACUCUGUUAUUAGGGAAGAACAAAUGUGUAAGUAACUAUGCACGUCUUGACGGUACCUAAUCAGAAAGCCACGGCUAACUACGUGCCAGCAGCCGCGGUAAUACGUAGGUGGCAAGCGUUAUCCGGAAUUAUUGGGCGUAAAGCGCGCGUAGGCGGUUUUUUAAGUCUGAUGUGAAAGCCCACGGCUCAACCGUGGAGGGUCAUUGGAAACUGGAAGACUUAGGUGCAGAAGAGGAAAGUGGAAUUCCAUGUGUAGCGGUGAAAUGCGCAAAGAUAUGGAGGAACACCAGUGGCGAAGGCGACUUUCUGGUCUGUAACUGACGCUGAUGUGCGAAAGCGUGGGGAUCAAACAGG
Molecule: ribosomal RNA, 429 nt
Filed under: Actinomycetes bacterium
Lineage: Bacteria; Bacillati; Actinomycetota; Actinomycetes
Description: Actinobacteria bacterium partial 16S ribosomal RNA
Rfam family: Bacterial small subunit ribosomal RNA
Source: RNAcentral